CAUGUGGUUUAAUUCGUAAGCAACGCGAAGAACCUACCAGGCCUUGACAUGCAGAGAACUUUCCAGAGAUGGAUGGUGCCUUCGGGAACUCUGACACAGGUGCUGCAUGGCUGUCGUCAGCUUGUGUCGUGAGAUGUUGGGUUAAGUCCGUAACGAGCGCAACCCUUGUCCUUAGUUACCAGCACGUUAUGGUGGGCACUCUAAGGAGACUGCCGGUGACAAACCGGAGGAAGGUGGGGAUGACGUCAAGUCAUCAUGGCCCUUACGGCCUGGGCUACACACGUGCUACAAUGGUCGGUACAAAGGGUUGCCAAGCCGCGAGGUGGAGCUAAUCCCAUAAAACCGAUCGUAGUCCGGAUCGCAGUCUGCAACUCGACUGCGUGAAGUCGGAAUCGCUAGUAAUCGUGAAUCAGAAUGUCACGGUGAAUACGUUCCCGGGCCUU
This 443-nucleotide ribosomal RNA is filed under the name uncultured Pseudomonas sp. Its description in RNAcentral is "bacterial SSU rRNA". It matches the Rfam family "Bacterial small subunit ribosomal RNA", at positions 938 to 1382 of the family's 1533-position model. The record is from RNAcentral. Lineage: Bacteria; Pseudomonadati; Pseudomonadota; Gammaproteobacteria; Pseudomonadales; Pseudomonadaceae.